CAAUAGCGUAUAUUAAAGUUGUUGCGGUUAAAAGCUCGUAGUUGGAUUUCUGCCGAGGACGACCGGUCCGCCCUCUGGGUGAGUAUCUGGUUCGGCCUGGGCAUCUUCUUGGAGAACGUAUCUGCACUUGACUGUGUGGUGCGGUAUCCAGGACUUUUACUUUGAAAAAUUAGAGUGUUCAAAGCAGGCGUCGGCUUGAAUACAUUAGCAUGGAAUAAUGGAAUAGGACUUUGGUUCUAUUUUGUUGGUUUCUAGGACCGAAGUAAUGAUUAAUAGGGACAGUUGGGGGCAUUAGUAUUUAAUUGUCAGAGGUGAAAUUCUUGGAUUUAUGAAAGACUAACUACUGCGAAAGCAUUUGCCAAGGAUGUUUUCAUUAAUCAAGAACGAAAGUUAGGGGAUCGAAGACGAUCAGAUACCAU
RNAcentral lists this ribosomal RNA (419 nucleotides) under uncultured eukaryote. RNAcentral describes it as "bacterial SSU rRNA". It matches the Rfam family "Eukaryotic small subunit ribosomal RNA", at positions 592 to 1018 of the family's 1831-position model. The record is from RNAcentral.